UACAUGGCUGGGAUGCUUCUACAAUCUAUGAUGUCUCAUAAACCCAGAGGCUGGCCGAGCAGGGGAGUGGGCUGCUGGCAGGACGGGCGACCCUCCCGGGUGGGCAGAAGAGGCUGAGCUCCCGGCUAGCCUCAAGCCAGAGGCGGAGCCGGGGCGUCAGGAUGCCAGGCCCUCCUGGCCACUAGCCAUGGCCGUUCUGGGACAUGUAAGCCGCCAGCGCCACCACCACGGCCAC
Molecule: long non-coding RNA, 235 nt
Organism: Mustela erminea (ermine)
Lineage: Eukaryota; Metazoa; Chordata; Mammalia; Carnivora; Mustelidae
Exons: 3
Source: RefSeq, a predicted model, not a curated record